Long non-coding RNA from Epinephelus moara (kelp grouper), 661 nucleotides. RefSeq lists it as uncharacterized. The record is from RefSeq and is a predicted model, not a curated record. NCBI's taxonomy places the organism in Eukaryota, Metazoa, Chordata, Actinopteri, Perciformes, Serranidae. The transcript is spliced from 4 exons.
AGUGUGUGUGAACUGAACAUUGGAGGCUGCAAGAAAUUAAACAAAACAAGAAAAAACAAGCAGCUUCCAGUCUAUCCAAAUGUGCAACAUAGUCAUCACUCGUGAUGACACGAGCCUGCAGUAGGACCCAGCGGCGUACCCCUCCUGGUUUGUCCCCAAAUGUGGGCAUCAUAAGAAUUUCACAAAUUGGCAAUGAGCUGCUGGGCACAGCAGAAGGAAUGGCAGCCUGUGGAUUGGAUGAGGUGGGCGUGGUGGAGGAGGUUGGCAUGGCGGAGGAGGCCGCUGCAGUGGAAGAGGUGGGCCCAACAGAGGGAACAGCCUCAGGAGCAGUGGAGGAGGCGGUGGGCACAGCAGCUCGACUGGGCACGAGCUUUACGAUCUGGAGAGAAAUUGAUCAGAGGAUGGAUGCCAGCCUUCCUGAAGCCAGCCAUGAUGUUGUCUGGGGUGACAGCCUUCUCAUAGGCAUGCUUCAGCACUGAGGAGAAGUGCUUUUUCCCCACCACCAUGUCCCCCCUCACCAAGCCCAUCUGGCUGGCCAGAGUGCUGAACACCGCUUUGAGGGGGUUGAAUAUGCUGAUGUCAAGUGGCUGCAGCAUGUGUGUGGUGUGUGGGGGGAGCAGCAGGAUCUCCACCUGAUCAGCUCGGCAUCUGUUGAUGAUGU